Long non-coding RNA from Quercus robur (English oak), 1408 nucleotides. RefSeq lists it as uncharacterized. NCBI's taxonomy places the organism in Eukaryota, Viridiplantae, Streptophyta, Magnoliopsida, Fagales, Fagaceae. The record is from RefSeq and is a predicted model, not a curated record. The transcript has 9 exons.
UAUAAAAAAUACUAACCGGUUAAAAUACGAUGGAUAUGGAGACAGAAAUAGAGAGGCAAUGAGACCUGGAGAAAGAAAUAGAGAAAGAGGCAGAGUUAGAGACAUCUCAGGCCAGUACCGCCGUCGGGCUCUGACCACCAAAAUUCUUGCUUCCGUACCGACGAUGCACUGUCACAGAACUUAGACCGCCGGAACUGCAAGCACACAGAAAGAAACCUAUAUGCCAUACAUUCGCCACCCAGAUCGUUGAAACCGGCUCCGAUAUUUUUUCUUUCCAUUUUUUAGAUUUGGGAUAGAGAGUCCGAUCAAGGAUAAAAAGAAAAGGAUAGAAACAAAGACCAACCACCCUCCUUCUAUACAAUUAGACCAUCGUAACCACAAGCACACAAAGAUCCACCCAGAUCUUCUGCCAUCGCCAUAAGCCUCUACUCACUACCCGACUGUCGGAAUCACUACUGAUUGGUAUUUUAGGUCAGAUUUGGUUUUGAUUAAGGGAUACGAAGAUAGAGGAACCAAGCAGAGUUCGUAGGCGACAAGAGAGAAGAAAUAUCGAAGGCCGGCCAUUGUGCAUUCCCUCGCCAGACUUGGGUCACUAGAACCGCAAGCACACAUGAAGGAAAAACUAUGGACCACCAACACUGUUAGGCCAUAUAUCUGCCACCCAGAUUGUCAGAAUCGGAACCAGUCUUUCUGCCAGAACAUCAUACACCCAGAUAAAGUCUGUAAGACACAGAGAGACAGACUGUAUACCUGUGAAGUUAUUGUUCCUAAUGUAUUAGGGCAUGACUAUGUCUGCGAUCUCCGACCCAACCUCAGUAUCAGACCAUUCUCUAUUGUGAAGGAAGCACCCUAGAAGUUCAAAUACUACCACCUGAGUUGUUAUUAGGGUAUGGGUACUGUAAAGUGUGGAGAGACAGAACAAAGGGCUGUCUCCACCAGCCUACAGCCACCGUUAGACAGUAGAAUAUUCUUUUCUGCGAUAAGAGUUCAUAACCAAAAUUGGUUUUUGUGGAAUUGCAUAAUCUGGUGUAUUCAGUAUUCUUUUCCAUUGCCAACAUUAAUGUUGAAGUAGUUCAAGAAACCAAAAGGCAAAGAAAAAUCUAUAGAGGGGACUUCAUAUGAAGUUGUUGAUUGCUCCCAUGGUAAGCAACUCUGGGAACUAUGUAAAGAGAAGUAUGAACCACUAUGGCUUAAAGGGGGAAACCACUGUGAUUUGGAGCUCCAAUUUAGCACAAGAUUCUUUCUUCAAUAUCUGUGCUUAAUUUUGGUAGAAUCUUACUUUAGCCACUUAUAGUAAAGAAUUAAGAAAUCAUUUUUGUAACUGGACAUGCAUUUGAAUAGAAACUAAAAGUGUUCAUGUAUAAUUUGGUUUAUAAGCAAUAUGUUGUGUGUAGUUUUUUGGUUGGUA